RNAcentral lists this ribosomal RNA (253 nucleotides) under uncultured bacterium. RNAcentral describes it as "partial 16S ribosomal RNA". It matches the Rfam family "Bacterial small subunit ribosomal RNA", at positions 524 to 776 of the family's 1533-position model. The record is from RNAcentral.
UACGAAGGGAGCUAGCGUUGUUCGGAAUCACUGGGCGUAAAGCGCACGUAGGCGGAUAUUUAAGUCAGGGGUGAAAUCCCAGAGCUCAACUCUGGAACUGCCUUUGAUACUGGGUAUCUCGAGUAUGGAAGAGGUGAGUGGAAUUCCGAGUGUAGAGGUGAAAUUCGUAGAUAUUCGGAGGAACACCAGUGGCGAAGGCGGCUCACUGGUCCAUUACUGACGCUGAGGUGCGAAAGCGUGGGGAGCAAACAGG